Molecule: ribosomal RNA, 640 nt
Filed under: uncultured archaeon
Lineage: Archaea
Description: bacterial SSU rRNA
Rfam family: Archaeal small subunit ribosomal RNA
Source: RNAcentral
GGUCAUAAUAUCUGGAAUGAUUUAUGGUUUAAAUCUAUAUGGCCUCUGGAUUGGACUGCGGCCGAUCAGGCUGUUGGUGAGGUAAUGGCCCACCAAACCUGAAACCGGUACGGGCUCUGAGAGGAGAAGCCCGGAGAUGGGCACUGAGACAAGGGCCCAGGCCCUAUGGGGCGCAGCAGGCGCGAAAACUCUGCAAUAAGCGAAAGCUUGACAGGGUUAUUCUGAGUGAUUUCCGCUAAGGAAAUCUUUUGGCACCUCUAAAAAUGGUGCAGAAUAAGGGGUGGGCAAGCCUGGUGUCAGCCGCCGCGGUAAUACCAGCACCCCGAGUGGUCGGGACGAUUAUUGGGCCUAAAGCAUCCGUAGCCGGUUCUACAAGUCUUCCGUUAAAUCCACCUGCUUAACAGAUGGGCUGCGGAGGAUACUAUAGAGCUAGGAGGCGGGAGAGGCAAGCGGUACUUAGUGGGUAGGGGUAAAAUCCGUUGAUCCAUUGAAGACCACCAGUGGCGAAGGCGGCUUGCCAGAACGCACUCGACGGUGAGGGAUGAAAGCUGGGGGAGCAAACCGGAUUAGAUACCCGGGUAGUCCCAGCUGUAAACGAUGCAGACUCGGUGAUGAAUAGGCUUCGUGCCUAUUCAGUGCC